Molecule: ribosomal RNA, 342 nt
Filed under: uncultured Prevotella sp.
Lineage: Bacteria; Pseudomonadati; Bacteroidota; Bacteroidia; Bacteroidales; Prevotellaceae
Description: bacterial SSU rRNA
Rfam family: Bacterial small subunit ribosomal RNA
Source: RNAcentral
GGAGGAAUAUUGGUCAAUGGGCGCGAGCCUGAACCAGCCAAGUAGCGUGCAGGAUGACGGCCCUAUGGGUUGUAAACUGCUUUUAUGCGGGGAUAAAGUGAGGGACGCGUCCCUUUUUGCAGGUACCGCAUGAAUAAGGACCGGCUAAUUCCGUGCCAGCAGCCGCGGUAAUACGGGAGGUCCGGGCGUUAUCCGGAUUUAUUGGGUUUAAAGGGAGCGUAGGCCGGCUUUUAAGCGUGUUGUGAAAUGCCGCGGCUCAACCGUGGCACUGCAGCGCGAACUGGAGGCCUUGAGUGCGCGGGAGGUAGGCGGAAUUCGUGGUGUAGCGGUGAAAUGCUUAGA